CAGGAUUACUGUCCACAAACAAACAAACAGCACCAAAACUCCCAACAAUAAGAACAACAGAAAUCCCACCUAAGGCACCAAAGGCUUGGUGAGCAUGGAUGCAUGGCAAAACUGCCUCCUGAAGGCCAGAAGAAAGGAUUUCUCUCCUGUUUUCACCCACUCCCUGUGCCUCCUGACUGACCCCGGUGCUUCCCCCAUGGCUCUGCAGAUCUUGGUGUGCCCACUCCUCUUGGGAACUAACAGAGGGAAUUUCCUGGAAGGCAGGGUCUGUGUUCAUCUCCCACAGAGCAUAGAGCACAGUGGAUGCUGAGGAAAUGGUGAAUGCUGGAAAGGAGCAACAGGAUGCCAAGGCCAGAAGUUCACCUUUGUGACCAAACUGGCUGAAACUGGUGAGAUGCAAGACGGCAGCUCACUUGACCUCCAAAGAACCUCUAACUUCAUUAUAAUAUAAUUUCCUUGCUAAAUGACACUCCCAUCAGUGUCAUGACAGUUGACAUUGCCAUGACAAUGGCCAGAAGAAACCAUAAAGGGACAAAAAGGAAGGUAGUAACUCUGGUUCCAAGGAGUUCUCCCAUUUCCAGAAAAGACAUGGAUAUUCCUCCCCUUGCUUUUAAUGCCCAACUUUUUCAUUAAAGAUGAAGCCUGUAUCUAUGGUUUCCCAGCUCUCAGGAGCUGAGAAGUUGAUUUGUGAGCCAAACUCCCACUUCUCAAUAAAGGCCGUCGAAUAAAGCA
This 732-nucleotide long non-coding RNA is filed under the name Homo sapiens (human). Its description in RNAcentral is "HSALNT0314604". Lineage: Eukaryota; Metazoa; Chordata; Mammalia; Primates; Hominidae. The record is from RNAcentral.